CCCUUAGAUGUCCUGGGCCGCACGCGCGCUACACUGAGUGUCUGAGAUACGAGUCUGCCUGGUCCGGCAAGGUCUAGGUAAUCGCUAAAAGACACAUCAUGCUUGGGAUAGAUUAUUGCAAAUAUUAAUCUUGAACGAGGAAUUCCUAGUAAGCGCAAGUCAACAGCUUGCGUUGAUUACGUCCCUGCCCUUUGUACACACCGCCCGUCGCUACUACUGAUUGGAUGUUUAAGCGAGGUUCUCGAACUGCUAGCGACUUAGCUUCGGUGAGGUCGCAGUGCGGGAAGUGAACCUAGCUUUGGCGUCUAGAGGAAGUAAAAGUCGUAACA
Molecule: ribosomal RNA, 329 nt
Filed under: uncultured eukaryote
Lineage: Eukaryota
Description: partial 18S ribosomal RNA
Rfam family: Eukaryotic small subunit ribosomal RNA
Source: RNAcentral